UACGUAGGGGGCGAGCGUUGUCCGAAUUCACUGGGCGUAAAGCGCGCGUAGGCGGACUCUUAAGUUGGGGGUGAAAUCCCGAGGCUCAACCUCGGAACUGCCUUCAAAACUGGGAGUCUUGAGGUAUGGAGAGGGAACUGGAAUUCCUGGUGUAGCGGUGAAAUGCGUAGAUAUCAGGAGGAACACCCAUGGCGAAGGCAGGUUCCUGGCCAUAUCCUGACGCUGAGGUGCGAAAGCUAGGGGAGCGAACGGG
This 253-nucleotide ribosomal RNA is filed under the name uncultured bacterium. RNAcentral's name for it is "partial 16S ribosomal RNA". It matches the Rfam family "Bacterial small subunit ribosomal RNA", at positions 524 to 776 of the family's 1533-position model. The record is from RNAcentral.